GACGAACGCUGGCGGCGUGCUUAACACAUGCAAGUCGAGCGGAAAGGCCCUUUCGGGGGUACUCGAGCGGCGAACGGGUGAGUAACACGUGAGUAAUCUGCCCUUCACUUGGGUAUAACCUCCGGAAACGGUGGCUAAUACCCGAUACGACCAUGCCUCGCAUGAGGGGGUGGUGGAAAGUUGUUCGGGGGGGGGUGGGCUCGCGGCCUAUCAGCUUGUUGGUGGGGUAAUGGCCUACCAAGGCUUUGACGGGUAGCCGGCCUGAGAGGGUGACCGGCCACACUGGGACUGAGACACGGCCCAGACUCCUACGGGAGGCAGCAGUGGGGAAUAUUGGACAAUGGGCGGAAGCCUGAUGCAGCAACGCCGCGUGAGGGAUGACGGCCCUCGGGUUGUAAACCUCUUUCACCUGUGACGAAGCGAAAGUGACGGUAGCAGGAGAAGAAGCACCGGCCAACUACGUG
Molecule: ribosomal RNA, 464 nt
Filed under: uncultured bacterium
Lineage: Bacteria
Description: partial 16S ribosomal RNA
Rfam family: Bacterial small subunit ribosomal RNA
Source: RNAcentral